Molecule: long non-coding RNA, 244 nt
Filed under: Carica papaya (papaya)
Lineage: Eukaryota; Viridiplantae; Streptophyta; Magnoliopsida; Brassicales; Caricaceae
Description: long non-coding RNA (CPAP_LNC004953)
Source: RNAcentral
AUUGAGAUACUAAAAAAAAAUAGAAACAUGGAUUAUGAAUCAAGGGUCAUGCAGAAAAAUAUACCAAACUGAGUCCUUUUACUGUUUUGCAAACUAUCUUUACUAACUGCCUCUCAAAAAAAUGCAAUUUAAUGUCAAGGCAAAAUCAUGUAGAAGAGUAUUAAGUGAAGACUAAAAAGCUAAUAUUUCUAAAUUUACCAAUCAACGGGAGUCAUUCUUGUGUAUGUUAAAAGCGCAAAUCGAU